RNAcentral lists this small RNA (959 nucleotides) under Pongo abelii (Sumatran orangutan). RNAcentral describes it as "processed transcript". The record is from RNAcentral. Lineage: Eukaryota; Metazoa; Chordata; Mammalia; Primates; Hominidae.
ACCUGAGCAGGUUCGAUUACGACUUCUGCCAGCUGGAGAGGGCAGCCGGGGAGGGAGUGAGCGCAGACAAACUCGGUGCUGUGGACGGUGGAGACGGCAAGGCAGACCCCAGUGUCCUGGCUGCGUUCCAGGACUACAUCAAACUGAUGCCGCUGGUUGCAGAAGCAAAUCAAAUGAAUAAAGAGCUGAAGAAGGGACUUAACAUGGAAUUGAAGGUGAAAAAUUUGGCAUCGUCAGAUUCCAGGGGCUAUGACCUACAGAAGGAGGUCUUGGUGAAGGUGACCCACCACGGGUCUCACGAGCUCUCUCGGCCACAUUGAAGACCCUUGUGCUUUCAUUGGGGCCACCUGGAUACUCCAGGCUAAUGUCUGUAUUUUAAGGUGUGGAUAUGGUCAAAAGCCAAGUUCAUCAAUAGGAAAUUCCUAAUGCAGGAACUUUAGCAGUGCUUUCUAGAUGGAGAUAACGGCUUUGUGGCUCAAGAAGAUGACCCUUUCUGGGAUCCUGUCGAGGUCGUCCGCUUGGGCUCAGCUCACAUCUGGCUCCAGUCGCUGGCCUACUGCAUGAAACUGGAGGAGCAAGUGGAGUUUCUGAACUGUGACGGGCUGGAGGAGGCGGUGCUGCAUAUCUGCAUAGCACCCUGCUCCCCCACAGGACAAACGCAUGGUGAGGAGGAUGUGGUUAUCGACCCUUUGGAGCUGGUGGGCAAGAGGAUGAUUUUCAGAUUCACAUUGUCCGGUGCCUUGGCGUCAACUGGAUGAAGGAAGAUGCAAAGCGGGGCAUUCAGAUAGGGCAGCAUCAAACCAGAUACCAGAACUUUAUCUGAAGCUGCUCAAGCUAGAGCAGAAGACAGAACUGCUCAGGAACAUUAACACAGCCCUGAGAGAAGAGAACGUGCUUUUCAAAGCAUCACUCGCGAAAAUUGCUUCUGGUCAAGCCCAGAAGCCUUCCAACACUCUGAA